This 151-nucleotide ribosomal RNA is filed under the name Pneumocystis sp. RNAcentral describes it as "partial large subunit ribosomal RNA". Lineage: Eukaryota; Fungi; Ascomycota; Pneumocystomycetes; Pneumocystales; Pneumocystaceae. The record is from RNAcentral.
GUAGAUGAUUUAUUAAUUUUAUUAGAGGGUAUAGCACUGAAUAUCUAAUAAAUAAAAUUAUUAGAAGGGAGUAUGAGAAUACUUACUUUAGAUAUUUAAUCUCAGAAUAACUAAUAAAUGAAAUAAGUUAUCAGACUUUUUGCGAUAAGGU